This 73-nucleotide transfer RNA is filed under the name Bos taurus (domestic cattle). It matches the Rfam family "tRNA". Rfam says of the family: Transfer RNA (tRNA) molecules are approximately 80 nucleotides in length. Their secondary structure includes four short double-helical elements and three loops (D, anti-codon, and T loops). Further hydrogen bonds mediate the characteristic L-shaped molecular structure. tRNAs have two regions of fundamental functional importance: the anti-codon, which is responsible for specific mRNA codon recognition, and the 3' end, to which the tRNAs corresponding amino acid is attached (by aminoacyl-tRNA synthetases). tRNAs cope with the degeneracy of the genetic code in two manners: having more than one tRNA (with a specific anti-codon) for a particular amino acid; and 'wobble' base-pairing, i.e. permitting non-standard base-pairing at the 3rd anti-codon position. Lineage: Eukaryota; Metazoa; Chordata; Mammalia; Artiodactyla; Bovidae. The record is from Rfam by way of RNAcentral.
UCCCUGGUGGUCCAGUGGCUAAGACUCCUCACUCCCCAUACAGGAGGCCAAGGUUCGAUCCCUGGUCAGGGAA